This 2445-nucleotide ribosomal RNA is filed under the name hot springs metagenome. Its description in RNAcentral is "bacterial LSU rRNA". It matches the Rfam family "Archaeal large subunit ribosomal RNA", at positions 769 to 2971 of the family's 2987-position model. The record is from RNAcentral.
CCUGUAGUCAUUACCUCGAGACCCGAAGCCAGUCGAUCUAUGCCUGACCAAGUUGAAGCCCUACGAAAGUGGGGUGGAGGACUGAACCGGUUCUGAUGUGCAAAUCGUUCGGAUGAGCUGCGUAUAGGGGCAAAAGACCAAUCUAGACUGGCAAUAGCUGGUUCCCCCCGAGACUACUCGCAGGUAGAUCUCUGACGAGGUGGAGUACACGGUAGAGCACUAAUUGGGCGCUUAGGGGAAGAAAUUCCUCGGUGCCUUGUUAAACUCCGAAUGUGUAUUCAUCGUAGAAUCAGGGUAGUGAGGGCAUCUGGGGUAAGCUUGAUGUCCGAAAGGGAAACAACCCAGCCUUACGUUAAGGUCCCUAAGUGUUAGCUAAGUGUCAAAGAACAAAAAGCGUUUACGAUCUCAGACAGCCAGGAGGUUGGCUUAGAAGCAGCCAUCCUUUAAAGAUAGCGUAACAGCUCACUGGUCGAGAUUGUAUGCCUUGAAAAUGGACGGGGCUAAGUUAACCACCGAUACGUAAGCACUCCUAAAUGGAGCUGAGUAGGGGGGCGUCGUGCGUGGGUAGAAGUUUGGUUGUAAGAUCAAGUGGACCGCGUUCGAACGAGAAUCCUGGGAAAAGUAGCAGCAUAGUAGAGUGAGAAUCUCUACCACCGAAAGGGCUAGGUUUCCUCGACGAUGUUCAUCAGUCGAGGGUUAGUCGGUCCUAAGGCAACCCUUAAUUGAAGUUGCCGAAUGGGAAACAGGUUAAUAUUCCUGUACUUUUCAAACAUUUGCUCAUGUUUUAACGCAUUCGGGUAGAUUUUGCAGACUCGUCUGUCUGUCUAAGCGUAGUAAGCCAAGGGAGUACCGUCAUGGUGAGAACUUGGUCAAAGCGCAAAUGGUCUGUCGUUUUAGACGGAUUUUAUCAAGCUCGAGUGCCCGUGAAAAGAGACAUGAGAUGUCGUUUGGAGAACCGUACCGAGAACUGACACAGGUGCCCCUGGCUGAGUAAGCCAAGGUGUGUCGGCUAAAUCCAGGCGAGGGAACUCGGCAAAUUAGCCCCGUACCUUCGGUAUAAGGGGUGCCUGCUUUGCGAAAAGCAGGUCUCAGUGACUAGGGCGCUCCGACUGUUUAAUAAAAACGUAGGAGACCGCAAGUCCGAAAGGAUGUGUAUGGUCGCCGAAUCCUGCCCAGUGGCGGUAUCUGAAAACCUAUUUCAAUGGGGCGAAGGACCGCUAAACGGCGGGGGUAACCAUGACCCUCUUAAGGUAACCACAAGUUCAUUGUUGCCUUAAUUAAAUUCGGCUAUUUGCUGGAACAUCUGAGAAUCCAACAGUACCAUCAAUUGGUAAAAAUCUGUUGGUGCAGACAAUCAGCAGGGAAGUCCGUUGAUCAUAUAAUGGAUCCCUCAGAGACUAUACGCCGAACACUCAGUGAUGAGUGAAGAUAUAGUCCGACCCUCAUGGCGACAUGAGGAGACUGCUAGAAAUAGCAGCCCGCCUCUCGAUAAAGAGAGGUCACUGAAGUAACAGAUGUGAGCGUAAUACCUUGCCGCUUAAUUGGCGGCUUGCAUGAGUGGCUUAACGAGAGCGCUACUGUCCCCGCUUGGAAACCGGUGAAAUUGACUUACUGGCGCAUAGUCCAGUACCUUCCAGAAGGGAGCGAAGACCCCGUGGAGCUUUACUACAGCCUGUCGCUGUGAUACGGUUUGGAUUGUGAAGCGUAGGUGGGAGCCGUCGAAGCCUAGACGCUAGUUUAGGUGGAGGCGCCAAUGGGACACCACCCUAUCUUUGCCGUACCACUAACUUGCAAAAGGACACCGAUCGGUGGGUAGUUUGGGUGGGGCGCCACGCGCUCGAAAAGAUAUCAAGCGCGCCCAAUGGUCACCUCAAGGAGGUCAGAAAUCUCCUGUAGAAUGCAAGGGUAAAAGGUGGCUUUACGUGGAUUGGGACAAUAACAAUCCACGUUGCGAAAGCAGGGCCUAGCGAACCAAUCAACCUCAUUUAUGGGGGUGAUUGAUAACAGAAAAGUUACCCCGGGGAUAACUGAGUCGUCUCCAGCAAGAGCCCAUAUCGACCUGGAGGCUUGCUACUUCGAUGUCGUCUCUCCGCAUCCUGGCGGUGCAGCAGCUGCCAAGGGUGGGGUUGUUCGCCCAUUAAAGCGGAUCGUGAGAUGGGUUUAGACCGUCGUGAGACAGGUUUGUUGCUAACUUCUGGAAGCGUUGAUGUUUGAGGGGAAAGACCCUUUAGUACGAGAGGAACAAGCCAACGGCACCUCUGGUCUAUCGGCUGUCUGGCAAGGCAUGCCGAGCAGCUACGUGCUCGCGGAUAAGGGCUGAAAGCAUCUAAGCCCGAAACCGUCCCUGAAAAGAGACCGCUUAGAGUACUCGUAAAAGACGAGUUUGAUAGAGCUGGUGUGUAAGCACCAAGGCAACGAGGUGUUCAGCUCGCAGCUACUAAUAAC